RNAcentral lists this ribosomal RNA (454 nucleotides) under uncultured organism. Its description in RNAcentral is "bacterial SSU rRNA". It matches the Rfam family "Bacterial small subunit ribosomal RNA", at positions 346 to 794 of the family's 1533-position model. The record is from RNAcentral.
GUGCACCAGCGAGAAUUUUUCUCAAUGGGGGCAACCCUGAAGGAGCGACGCCGCGUGGAGGAUGAAGGCUUUCGGGUUGUAAACUCCUGUCAUUUGAGAACAAGUGCCAACAAGUAACUACUGUUGGCUUGAUAGUAUCAGAAGAGGAAGGGACGGCUAACUCUGUGCCAGCAGCCGCGGUAAUACAGAGGUCCCAAGCGUUGUUCGGAUUCAUUGGGCGUAAAGGGUGCGUAGGUGGCGUGGUAAGUCGGGUGUGAAAUUUCGGAGCUUAACUCCGAAACUGCAUUCGAUACUGCCGUGCUUGAGGACUGGAGAGGAGACUGGAAUUUACGGUGUAGCAGUGAAAUGCGUAGAGAUCGUAAGGAAGACCAGUGGCGAAGGCGGGUCUCUGGACAGUUCCUGACACUGAGGCACGAAGGCCAGGGGAGCAAACGGGAUUAGAUACCCGCGUAGU